UAACAAGAGAUGGGGUGUGCAGGAGGCGUUUCUGGGUAUAGAAAGCACACAAUGGGCCCGGGUGGAGCUGAUGCCCAAAUCCAAACUCGUAAGAUAGGGAAAAGGUCAUGUUCAAACUCAAACACAUUCAGAAUUAGAACAUCUCCUCUCAAACUUCUUGACCUGAGAACCACCACCUUCGUCGCACCAAAAAUCACCUCUGGCAGAGGGCCAAACCACUGAAACCUUACAUCAAUGCACUCGUCUCUUCACCUUCUUCCUCAAUCCAUCAUCAAUUUCAAAUAAUUCCUAAUAAAACAUCCUAACUGGACUUAUUUACUUAUGAACCCUAAAUAUCAAAGUUCAAAUUAAAUCCUCCCAAGGGGGAAUCAAAGUUCAAUUGGUUGGGGUUUUGAUUCCCCAAGCCCUAAGCUACAUCUUGGUAACCGAACCACAUCGAAACAAGCAAAAAUUCCUUACCUCUGAAGAUGAGGAUGAAGAUCGGGGAUGAGCUAGUUCUGGAGCACGGCAAGAUGAAGAUGAUUCUGAAUGAUUUUGCAGGAUGAUGCACACAUGAUGAUUGGACAAAGGCAUACAAAGUGACUUGCAUUUGAAGUAACAUGGUGAAGGCAACAUCAAAGACAUGUGGAGCUUUGAAGAUUCAAACAAAAAGAUGACUUUUGGAAAAGUAAAAAUAGGAAUUAUGGUUAGGAUAUGUAAAAUUAGUCCGUUGUUGACCAAAAAGUCAACAGUUGAUCAAAAGUCAACUUAGGCAAAAAUGUAUUUUUUUUGUUUUGUAUAGUUUGAUUCGUAAGAACUUGUGAUGAAUGAAUUGUUUUUGAAAUGCAAAACUCCCUUUUGAAUGCAAAA
Lathyrus oleraceus (garden pea) is the source of this 849-nucleotide long non-coding RNA. RefSeq lists it as uncharacterized. Lineage: Eukaryota; Viridiplantae; Streptophyta; Magnoliopsida; Fabales; Fabaceae. The transcript is spliced from 2 exons. The record is from RefSeq and is a predicted model, not a curated record.